Molecule: long non-coding RNA, 1051 nt
Organism: Dreissena polymorpha
Lineage: Eukaryota; Metazoa; Mollusca; Bivalvia; Myida; Dreissenidae
Exons: 2
Source: RefSeq, a predicted model, not a curated record
GCUCGAAAAUGUUAAAGUUCUUAUUUCAUGGUAUAACUUUGGUAUGCUUGGACCUAGAGUCUUCAAACUUGACAUGAAGGUUGGCCAGGAUUAACAGAUGACCACUGGUCAUUUCAAGGUCAUUCAUUUGAAGGUCAAGGUCACUGUGACCUUCAAUAUAAAAAUGUUAAAGUUUUUAUAACUUUGGUAUGCUUGGACCUAGAGUCUUGAAACUUGACAUGAAGGUUGGCCAGAACUAGUAAGUAACCACUGGACAUUUCAAGGUCAUUCAUUUGAAGGUCAAGGUCACUGUGACCUUGAAUGUAAAAAUGUUAAAGUUGUUAUAACUUUGGUAUGCUUGGACCUAGAGUCUUGAAACUUGACAUGAAGGUUGGCCAGAACUAGUAAGUAACCACUGGACAUUUCAAAGUCAUUCAUUUGAAGGUCAAGGUCACUGUGACCUUGAAUGUAAAAAUGUUAAAGUUCUUAUUUCAUGUUAUAACUUUGGUAUGCUUGUACCUAGAGUCUUCAAACUUGAAAUAAAGAUUGGCCAGUACUAGAAGAUGACCACUGGUCAUUUCAAUGUCAUUCAUUUGAAGGUCAAGGUCACUGUGACCUUAAAUGUUAAAAUGUUAAAAUUGUUAUAACUUUGGUAUGCUUGGACAUAGAGUCUUCAAACUUGACAUGAAGGUUUGCAAGCACACUUAGAUGACCACUGGUCAUUUCAAGGUCAUUCAUUCUAAGGUCAAGGUCACUGUGACCUUGAAUGUAAAAAUGUUAAAGUUCUUAUAACUUUGGUAGGUAAAAAUGUUAAAGUUCUUAUUCCAUGUUAUAACUUUGGUAUGCUUGUACCUAGAGUCUUCAAACUUGACAUAAAGGUUGGCCAGUACUAGAAGAUCACCACUGCUCAUUUCAAUGUCAUUCAUUUGAUUUCUGUGUAGGUAUGUGAAAGCAAAACAAUAAAUAGUAUUAUUUCAUCUAAGUUUAUUUUCUUACAUUUGAUAAUGAAAUUGAUGGAAACUUCAAACAAUAUCUUACUAAUUUGCUAAUAAAAAAAUUGAGAUCAAACUUU